AGUGAACGCUGGCGGUAGGCCUAACACAUGCAAGUCGAACGGCAGCACAGUAAGAGCUUGCUCUUACGGGUGGCGAGUGGCGGACGGGUGAGGAAUACAUCGGAAUCUACUUUUUCGUGGGGGAUAACGUAGGGAAACUUACGCUAAUACCGCAUACGACCUACGGGUGAAAGCAGGGGAUCUUCGGACCUUGCGCGAUUGAAUGAGCCGAUGUCGGAUUAGCUAGUUGGCGGGGUAAAGGCCCACCAAGGCGACGAUCCGUAGCUGGUCUGAGAGGAUGAUCAGCCACACUGGAACUGAGACACGGUCCAGACUCCUACGGGAGGCAGCAGUGGGGAAUAUUGGACAAUGGGCGCAAGCCUGAUCCAGCCAUACCGCGUGGGUGAAGAAGGCCUUCGGGUUGUAAAGCCCUUUUGUUGGGAAAGAAAAGCAGCAGGUGAAUACCCCGCCGUUCUGACGGUACCCAAAGAAUAAGCACCGGCUAACUUCGUG
RNAcentral lists this ribosomal RNA (492 nucleotides) under uncultured bacterium. RNAcentral describes it as "partial 16S ribosomal RNA". It matches the Rfam family "Bacterial small subunit ribosomal RNA", at positions 29 to 507 of the family's 1533-position model. The record is from RNAcentral.